UGAGUAACCUGCCCUUAACUCUGGGAUAAGCCUGGGAAACUGGGUCUAAUACCGGAUAUGACUCCUCAUCGCAUGGUGGGGGGUGGAAAGCUUUUUGUGGUUUUGGAUGGACUCGCGGCCUAUCAGCUUGUUGGUGAGGUAAUGGCUCACCAAGGCGACGACGGGUAGCCGGCCUGAGAGGGCGACCGGCCACACUGGGACUGAGAUACGGCCCAGACUCCUACGGGAGCAG
RNAcentral lists this ribosomal RNA (232 nucleotides) under uncultured bacterium. RNAcentral describes it as "partial 16S ribosomal RNA". It matches the Rfam family "Bacterial small subunit ribosomal RNA", at positions 118 to 347 of the family's 1533-position model. The record is from RNAcentral.